Molecule: small RNA, 1038 nt
Filed under: Arabidopsis thaliana (thale cress)
Lineage: Eukaryota; Viridiplantae; Streptophyta; Magnoliopsida; Brassicales; Brassicaceae
Description: putative long intergenic non-coding RNA
Source: RNAcentral
UCAACCCGCCUAAUGAAGAACUCUUCUUCAUGGAACAAGCACCCCCGACGAGAGAAGCUCCAGUCAUUGAAGAAAGGGUUGAGAGUGAAAGAGAAGCUGAGAAUGAAGACGGAGAGGAGAUGGAUUGGGAGAACUACAAUGUGAGUAGGUUCCAUUUUGAGGAAUACAAACCACCACCAAGAGUGAGUAAGAGUCUGACUGUUGCGCAUAAGAAUAUUGGUUCGAUGAGUGCUUGGAAUAAGUUUCAAGACAGGAUGUUGAAAAAAUGUGGCAAGGCCAUAGCUGCAAUUCAGGCUGUACUAAGCUGUUCAUCUUCAGGCGCUACCAUGGUGAGAGAAAACCGCCCUGAAGAAGUGGUUUCAAGAAGGCAUAGAGUUUCACCUUCGAGACAAUCUGCCUAUGAGCAACGAGAGGUAUGUCGCCCUCAAGCUCCUGCACGACAUUCAUCUCAUGAACACCACGAGCAGAAAAGAAGGAGAAAAACAAGAAUUGUUCGGCCAAGGAGCAAGGACCUUCUUAUGUCCAGCAGAAGAUCACUCGACCAAGAUACUCGACGCGAUAUUGAGCAGAGUGUCAAGUAGGAUCCGUGGGUUCAGAACGAGCAGAAUGUUGAGCAAAAUUAGUGGGAUCAAGAUGGGCAGUACUCGGUAAUGAAUUGGCAUGCUUACUAUGGCAUCAACGAGCAUGAACCUUCACCUGAAAACUGAGGUAACACCACCUCUCCAUUGUAUAUACUAUAACAUCGUUUUCAUUUUUAUUUUUCUUUGUGUGUUUUGUGCUUUGGUCUUGAAUUUUCUUUCAGAUUUUUAUUUCACAAGGGACUGUUUAAUUUAAGUUUGGGGGAGGGUUCAAGACAUGUUUAACAUUGUGUUCUCUUUUCUUAUUUCAAAUUUUGCAUCAUCUAAGGCAUAGAAAAACCAUAAAAAUUUGAAAAAUUUUCAGAAAAUUAUUUCAUAAAAAAAAGAGUGUCAUGUAGAUUGUAUAUCAUUUUAGGAUUGUAUAUAGAGUGUUUGCAUUUAGGAUUGCUCAUUUGCAUAG